RNAcentral lists this non-coding RNA (120 nucleotides) under Dethiosulfatibacter aminovorans. RNAcentral's name for it is "MoCo sequence". It matches the Rfam family "Molybdenum/Tungsten riboswitch aptamer (Moco RNA motif)". The record is from RNAcentral. Lineage: Bacteria; Bacillati; Bacillota; Tissierellia. RNAcentral also lists the same sequence under 1 other name.
UACUUUUGUAUUAUUCAAGUGUGUCAAUUCUAAGGCUUUGCUAAGAAAGUCACACCGAUAGGGUAUGUUUGGAAACAGACAUAUCUCCCGUGUUUGGAAUGAAUAAUUAUAUUUGAUUUU